RNAcentral lists this ribosomal RNA (482 nucleotides) under uncultured bacterium. Its description in RNAcentral is "partial 16S ribosomal RNA". It matches the Rfam family "Bacterial small subunit ribosomal RNA", at positions 30 to 507 of the family's 1533-position model. The record is from RNAcentral.
AUUGAACGCUGGCGGCAUGCUUUACACAUGCAAGUCGAACGGUAACAGGCCGCAAGGUGCUGACGAGUGGCGCACGGGUGAGUAAUGCAUCGGAACGUGCCCAGUCGUGGGGGAUAACUACUCGAAAGAGUAGCUAAUACCGCAUACGAUCUAUGGAUGAAAGCGGGGGACCGUAAGGCCUCGCGCGAUUGGAGCGGCCGAUGUCAGAUUAGGUAGUUGGUGGGGUAAAGGCUCACCAAGCCAACGAUCUGUAGCUGGUCUGAGAGGACGACCAGCCACACUGGGACUGAGACACGGCCCAGACUCCUACGGGAGGCAGCAGUGGGGAAUGUUGGACAAUGGGCGCAAGCCUGAUCCAGCAAUGCCGCGUGCAGGAAGAAGGCCUUCGGGUUGUAAACUGCUUUUGUACGGAACGAAACGGCUCUGGUUAAUACCCGGGGCUAAUGACGGUACCGUAAGAAUAAGCACCGGCUAACUACGUG